Molecule: ribosomal RNA, 439 nt
Filed under: uncultured bacterium
Lineage: Bacteria
Description: bacterial SSU rRNA
Rfam family: Bacterial small subunit ribosomal RNA
Source: RNAcentral
ACGCGAGGAACCUUACCAGGUCUUGACAUCCCACUGCCCGGUAUAGAGAUAUACCUUUCCCUUCGGGGACAGUGGUGACAGGUGGUGCAUGGUUGUCGUCAGCUCGUGUCGUGAGAUGUUGGGUUAAGUCCCGCAACGAGCGCAACCCUUGAUCUUAGUUGCCAGCAUUUAGUUGGGCACUCUAAGGUGACUGCCGGUGACAAACCGGAGGAAGGUGGGGAUGACGUCAAAUCAUCAUGCCCCUUAUGACCUGGGCUACACACGUGCUACAAUGGACGGUACAAACGGUUGCCAACCCGCGAGGGGGAGCUAAUCCGAUAAAACCGUUCUCAGUUCGGAUUGUAGGCUGCAACUCGCCUACAUGAAGCCGGAAUCGCUAGUAAUCGCGGAUCAGCAUGCCGCGGUGAAUACGUUCCCGGGCCUUGCACACACCGCCCGU